GUAGAAGCAGGUGAUGUCAAGAGAAGAAGCUCAAAAGUAAGCCACCUACAUCAAUCCCCUGACACUCAAAAGCCUUUACCUGGUACGAGACUACGCAUCCUGCAAAGGGCAAGCCAAGUGUCACCUCCCAGGUGAAUCCUUCCUCCGUGGACAUCUGCCAGCAUCCAUUCCCCUGGUUCAGGACACAUCUAUUCCCCACUCGAAGUACAUAGGGUUCAAGGGAGGCCACAGGAGAGGUCAUGUGACCUAAGCCCGGACAAGGAGAAUGGCAUCACCCUGGACAUAAGGACUAGCUCAAAGAUGGACAUGUGGCACCGGCUGAACCAGAAUACCUUUUCUCCAGGGCUCCUCCACACUCAGAAAGAGCCAAUUUCAAGCUACCAGUAUGAUGUGACGGAACACAGAGUUGGGAAGAGAUGCUCAGUGCAGAUCACUAUAUAAUACGUCCCCACUACAGACAACAUAGAUGUAAAUGACUUCAAGAGUGUGGAUAACAGCAAAGGCAGAAAAACAAUUAGGAAGAGUCACAAGUCCUUAUGAGCCAGCUCCUGCACACCACUGGUACCAGGCCUUGUGAUGAAGUCUGAGGAUACAUGAAUAAAAUAUAGCCUCUGCCCACAAGAAACUCUCAGUCCCACAAUAGAGAGAGACACUAAAGAAAUUAUAGCAAACUGAAAAGUGCUAAGAGGAAGUCUCUACAAAACACCGAGAACACAAACAAGCCUGAGGGGAGAGUCAGGGGAGAAACUCAGAAAAUAUUUUGCAAAAGAUGCAACAUUUGAGCUGAGUUCCAAAGUAUUCUUAGAAAUGGAGAGAAAAGAGAGUGCAGGCAGAAAGAUAGACAUAUU
This 848-nucleotide long non-coding RNA is filed under the name Equus caballus (horse). RNAcentral's name for it is "lncRNA (ENSECAG00000052218.1)". The record is from RNAcentral. Lineage: Eukaryota; Metazoa; Chordata; Mammalia; Perissodactyla; Equidae.